This is a long non-coding RNA of Triticum aestivum (bread wheat), 2498 nucleotides long. RefSeq lists it as uncharacterized. The record is from RefSeq and is a predicted model, not a curated record. The transcript has 3 exons. NCBI's taxonomy places the organism in Eukaryota, Viridiplantae, Streptophyta, Magnoliopsida, Poales, Poaceae.
CCGCAGCCACGUCCUAUGUAAAAAACAACAACUUUUCUGCCUAUACAGAGCCGCCGAGGAGGAGGAGGGUUCUGGCGGCGGCCGUAGACGCGGACGUUACGGAGGGGACGGGAUCCAGCGACGGCGCUCCGGAUCUGGUCUGGAACGGCCGGAUCUGAUCUGGAGCGAGGCGUCGGCGACUUGGAGGUGGAGGACGCUCGAGCUCUCCUUCUGGAUCGGGUCAACGCGGCGGCUCGAGCGGCUGGGGGCGGCGCGGGUGCUCGAUGCAGAACGGCGGCAGCGGCUGGAUCUGUGGCGACGGCGGCUGGAGCUUGCGAACGGCGGCGGUGGCUGCAGCUGUGGAUUGCUAGCCGCGGCUUCACUGGGGGAGCGCAGCUGCAUAGUCCGUCGCUCGCGUCGCUGCUUCGCCGGGAGGAGCACCGGCUACGUCCCUUGCCAUCCCCACAGUCGCCGCUGCUGCUCCAGACGUUGGUGAUGGAGAAUCGCUCCUUGGUUUUCGUUGCCGCCAGAUCCCCAAUCGCUACCUCGAUCUCGCCAUCACCAGCCCGGCAAGGGCUUCAAUAUCCUCAGAUAUCCACCAGCGAAAAAAGAAGAAGCUCUAGCCCAUGUGGUUGACGGCGUCUCUUGUCUUAUUUGCUUAGCGUAUUUAUGUUUCAUCAGGAUGCAAGUUGCUGCUUGAGGAGUGUUAGAAUUUGUGAAAUACCGAUUUUCUCUUUGCCCCAACAACAUUACUUUGGUACACUCAAAACGCCAGUUGCCAGAAGUAAUAUGUGCUUCCUUUUCACCAAAGAAGAUUUAUACAAUCUGAUCAUCUAUACAUUGGACAGAUAAACAAUAGAAAGGGAACUCAAUCUGAUAUAUUUUUUGUUCAAGUCCAGAUAUAGAAACCAUAGAUUGGUAAAUGCAUCUAAAUUCUAAACUAAAAUUAUGCUUAAUGUGAGAGGAAAGCGAGGUUUUCGCUACAGUACUGAUGGUUAAUAUCAAGUAUAACAGUGAAACUGCACUACUGUUUGUUCGUCGUGUUAUUCAGUUAAAGGUUAAUAUCUCCAAACUUCAUUUUAUCUUUUUGUAGAAGCUCUCGCCUAACAACUUAUUUUCUAGGACUGUUAGUAUUUAACAAAUUUGCAUCUUGAUGUGGCUAAUCGGUGAAGCAAUUCCACUGUAAACAUAAGUGCGUAUGUAGCUCUUUUAUUGCUACUAAAAUUAGUCUGCUCAUUAAAUUUAAAUGCAAUAUCAAUUCACUCUGAAGAGGCUUAUCCUCUUUCACUAACUACAUAUUCGUUUGACCUGUCAAACAAUCCUAAGGAUCCCUUUAAAUUGGUUCUAAAUGUUUAUGCAGCAUCAGUGUUAUAUGGUACCAGAAAACAUGUGGAGAGAAUACUUAGUUCCGUUGAGAAAACAAUAGCUGAACUCUUCUAGGUUUUGUUAGAUCAACUGGCUACUUUGACAGAUUCUUGCGUGGCUGUGACGGGUAGGUACCAUGCCCUCUCCCUCAUCCUUCCUGUACUCCCCUAUCUCUUAUUUGCACACUCCCCACCCAAUUUUUUUCCUUAUUUGCACAUCUGUUAUAACAGCAAUGUGACAUUAUGGUAUGAUAUUUGUAAUCAUCCACUAAUAUGGCACCUUCAGUUCCAAAGUAAAUAGAUUUAUUUGACUCUUUUUUGUUUACAUCCAUCGUGCAGACAAUGAUUAGAGGGAAACAGUAGUGAUAGCCUGACUUAUUGACUUACUUGGGCUUGGUACAGCGCUGCCGUAUACUUAGAGACACUAUGCGAUGCUAGAUUUGGUAUGAUGUGAUGGUGGCUGUGAAUCUGGCAGUGAAGGAGGUCACGACGGAGCGGCUUCUCCAUCAUGGUUUGGAGCCGACCAAGGAAGUUGCAGUUAUACAGAGUGUGAGUGCUUCAGACUUUUGAGAGCUCGAGGAGGAGGGGCGUGUGGAGGUUGUUGCCGUCAGUGCCUGCCCCAGCGGUCUCCAUUGCCUGCUCCGGCCAGAUUCAGUCGGACCUAUCCUAUCGGUUCUCCAUCGCUUCACUCUGCUUCAUGUGCAUCUGGGCAGAGGAGACGAUGACCCGACCUGCCUGGUCGCUCACCACUGCCUCCCAGUCUCUGUUCUUCACCAGUCACACGUACUCUUCCUUAUGUGGUGUUUGAGGCAGGAAGGGUGAUUAGAAUCGAUGAGGAGCAGCAAGAAACAACAACUAUUGCCGGCCUAGCUGCUUAUAGGGACAACCACACGGUGUAUUAGUGUCUCGAUCUAAUUCAUUUAACCACACAUAUACCUUGGAUGACCAGCAAGAAAAAUUUAACCAUUAUACCUGUAAUAUCAAGUGGAUUAUCUUGGGUCUCUCACUCUCUCCAAUCCAUGGAUGAUAUGUGUGGCCCAACUAUUAGCAAUCUUGCAGGUGUAGCUAAUACAAUAAGUUUGCGUUUCACUUCAGAAUUCAGAGGAACUGAACGUUUAUUUUACAGUUCAAACCAAUUACUGGUCUAUUGCAAAA